Molecule: ribosomal RNA, 253 nt
Filed under: uncultured bacterium
Lineage: Bacteria
Description: partial 16S ribosomal RNA
Rfam family: Bacterial small subunit ribosomal RNA
Source: RNAcentral
UACGGAGGGUGCAAGCGUUAAUCGGAAUUACUGGGCGUAAAGCGAGUGUAGGCGGCUGCAUAAGUCGGAUGUGAACGCCCUGGGCUUAACCUGGGAACUGCAUUUGUGACUGCAAGGCUAGAGUACGGCAGAGGGGGGUAGAAUUCCACGUGUAGCAGUGAAAUGCGUAGAUAGGUGGAGGAAGACCGAUGGCGAAGGCAGCCCCCUGGGUCGAUACUGACGCUCAUGCACGAAAGCGUGGGGAGCAAACAGG